GCGAAUGUAGCACAAUGGUUAGUGCAUUAGACUUCCAAUCUAAGGAUGACGGUUCGAUUCCGUUCAUUCGCUCA
Molecule: transfer RNA, 74 nt
Filed under: virus sp. ctQcs9
Description: tRNA-Gly
Rfam family: tRNA
About the family: Transfer RNA (tRNA) molecules are approximately 80 nucleotides in length.
Source: RNAcentral